UCGGCAACGGAUAUCUCGGCUCUCGCAUCGAUGAAGAACGUAGCAAAAUGCGAUACUUGGUGUGAAUUGCAGAAUCACGUGAACCAUCGAGUCUUUGAACGCAAGUUGCGCCCGAAGCCUUUUGGCCGAGGGCACGUCUGCCUGGGUGUCACACAACGUCG
This 161-nucleotide ribosomal RNA is filed under the name Aspidopterys elliptica. RNAcentral's name for it is "5.8S ribosomal RNA". It matches the Rfam family "5.8S ribosomal RNA". From Rfam's summary of the family: 5.8S ribosomal RNA (5.8S rRNA) is a component of the large subunit of the eukaryotic ribosome. The record is from RNAcentral. Lineage: Eukaryota; Viridiplantae; Streptophyta; Magnoliopsida; Malpighiales; Malpighiaceae.